RNAcentral lists this long non-coding RNA (369 nucleotides) under Gallus gallus (chicken). The record is from RNAcentral. Lineage: Eukaryota; Metazoa; Chordata; Aves; Galliformes; Phasianidae.
CUCGGAGGCCUGCUUGAGGAAGAACUCCUGCGCCUUGUCAUUGCGGCCGGUCUGCACGGUAUGGACGAGGUAGUAUCGAUACAGGCUGGUUUUCAGCUUGUUCACCGUCGGUCGGUACAUGUCUUCCAGCCGGCUGAAGAGGCGGCGGUCCAGGUAGCCCCAGUAGUCCCGCAGCGCGGCCAGGUCAUAGCUCUGCACGAACUGCUGCAGCUGCUCCACGAUCUUAUCCACCCGGAAGCCCUUCUCUCGGUCCGCCUUGAUCUCCGCGUCCAGCUGCUUCAGGGCGGCGGUGAAGCCGCGGAACAGCAGAUACUCGCGCACCAGCUCGUCCGUCCGCUCCGUCGCCGCCGCCAUGGGGCCCAGCGGCGC